This is a long non-coding RNA of Leucoraja erinaceus (little skate), 184 nucleotides long. RefSeq lists it as uncharacterized. Lineage: Eukaryota; Metazoa; Chordata; Chondrichthyes; Rajiformes; Rajidae. The record is from RefSeq and is a predicted model, not a curated record. The transcript has 2 exons.
AUUGCAUUACGUCGUUAAUAUAGAGUCAGUGUAUCGGCAACAUUACCUCCUUCAUGAGGGGUUCACCGUUCUUCAGCCAUCUGUGUGAAGGUUUCGGGUCCCCAUUUGCCUUGCAAACCCACUGAAGACUUUCUUCGAUGGGAACAAACGCAUCUGAUAUGCUCCGACUCCAGUUAGGCCGUGC